AGGAUAAGGUUGCGGUUUAAGUU
RNAcentral lists this non-coding RNA (23 nucleotides) under Arabidopsis thaliana (thale cress). The record is from RNAcentral. Lineage: Eukaryota; Viridiplantae; Streptophyta; Magnoliopsida; Brassicales; Brassicaceae.